RNAcentral lists this ribosomal RNA (712 nucleotides) under Paenibacillus sp. La-12-371. RNAcentral's name for it is "bacterial SSU rRNA". It matches the Rfam family "Bacterial small subunit ribosomal RNA", at positions 61 to 751 of the family's 1533-position model. Lineage: Bacteria; Bacillati; Bacillota; Bacilli; Caryophanales; Paenibacillaceae. The record is from RNAcentral.
GUCGACGCGGAGUUUUUACCUUUCGGGAUAAGUUAGCGGCGGACGGGUGAGUAACACGUAGGUAACCUCGCCUAUAAGACUCGGGAUAACUAUCGGAAACGAUAGCUAAGACCGGAUAACUGGUUUUCUCGCAUGAGAGAAUUAUGAAACACGGAGCAAUCUGUGGCUUAUAGAUGGGCCUGCGGCGCAUUAGCUAGUUGGUAGGGUAACGGCCUACCAAGGCGACGAUGCGUAGCCGACCUGAGAGGGUGAACGGCCACACUGGGACUGAGACACGGCCCAGACUCCUACGGGAGGCAGCAGUAGGGAAUCUUCCGCAAUGGACGCAAGUCUGACGGAGCAACGCCGCGUGAGUGAUGAAGGUUUUCGGAUCGUAAAGCUCUGUUGCCCUAGACGAACAGCAAGAAGAGUAACUGCCUUUUGUGUGACGGUAUAGGAGAAGAAAGCCCCGGCUAACUACGUGCCAGCAGCCGCGGUAAUACGUAGGGGGCAAGCGUUGUCCGGAAUUAUUGGGCGUAAAGCGCGCGCAGGCGGUCAAUUAAGUUGGGUGUUUAAGCCCGGGGCUCAACCCCGGUUUCGCAUCCAAAACUGGUUGACUUGAGUGUAGGAGAGGAAAAGUGGAAUUCCCACGUGUAGCGGUGAAAUGCGUAGAGAUGGUGGAGGAACACCAGUGGGCGAAGGCGACUUUUCUGGCCUAUAACUGACGCUGAGG